This is a long non-coding RNA of Bombus pyrosoma, 841 nucleotides long. RefSeq lists it as uncharacterized. The record is from RefSeq and is a predicted model, not a curated record. NCBI's taxonomy places the organism in Eukaryota, Metazoa, Arthropoda, Insecta, Hymenoptera, Apidae. The transcript is spliced from 3 exons.
ACUUAGGCGGUUCAUUUUUAGUAGGUUACUAAUAUUUCUUUGUGAAGAUACUUGGAUUAUAUAAAUCGCCAGCAAUUCAUUGUUCUCUAUUGAUCUUUUUGUUGAGAAGCGCCAAUCUUUGGACAAUUGGAUGUCGGACAUCUGCAGUGCUUGCAACUCUGCAAGUAUUUCCGUUCCGGAGAAGCAAUUGUUUAGAACCUUUAGUGAGACCGUGUGGUACUUCUCCGAUUUGGGUGUAUAUCGUAAAAGGCUGUCUUAACUGCAAUUAGGAUUUCUCUCGCUCUGUUAAAAGUCUCCUCAAUGAGUUCCAGUCUUGGUGGGUGAUGUAUAUUGGAGGUUUGUCUCUAUUUGUGGGGGCUGUGGUGUCAGUGGAUUCUUCCUUGGAGAAGCUGGUGGCUUGUGUGGGAUAUGUCUGGUUUUCCGUAUCCAGGUUGCUGGAGAUAUGGGCCUCCUGCGUCGUCCAUUUCGCUGGGCUGCACCUGGGACGCUCAGGGUGUGACGUCAAUCACAUCUCAACCUACAUCAGAGAUAACACAUGGACUCCGAGCUUCGGACACUUUCCACAUCAUAACCUAUACCGAGCCCCUCAACAUGCUCAAACCAAAACGCCUAUAAGCCGAGACUUCAGCCAGCUCGAGUAGUUCUUGUUCUUGUUCCUGUUCUUGCGCAGCCCUUUUCUCCGAUUCAGUGUCAUUCUAUUUCUUCGAUCCUGCCAGGAUCCAUUCCCUUCAGUGUAAACGAAAUCACGAUUUCGGCAUACGUGCAUCAUUGAAGAUUGAAGGAUCAGUGGACCUCUGCAUAGAUCAGCUCACUUUGCGUGAAAACGACUUCUAUGGAAAGC